Long non-coding RNA from Populus euphratica (Euphrates poplar), 888 nucleotides. RefSeq lists it as uncharacterized. NCBI's taxonomy places the organism in Eukaryota, Viridiplantae, Streptophyta, Magnoliopsida, Malpighiales, Salicaceae. The record is from RefSeq and is a predicted model, not a curated record. The transcript has 2 exons.
ACCUCUGAUCACCUUUUUAGUGAUAUUUUUGUUAUAAACUACACUGAGUUUCAGAUCCACGAUUAUUAAUGAACUCAAAUGCUUAAUGUCAAAAAUUGCAAAUGCAUGGAGGCAAUCAAAAGCUGAAAGCAGUCCAGUAAUAAAGUUGCAGACAUAAAAUACAUGAUCACAGCUUUAAAAUCUAUCAUCCUCCCCUCCUCCCCUUGCCAGAAAAAUAAAAUAAAAUAAAAUAAAACAAAUAGUGGGCUAAUUUAUAACUAAAUGUGGGAGCAGCUGAAAGCGGACAAAUGAGAAGGUUGUGAGCAUAAAGACAUCACCACAGCAUUAAGCUCUAUCAUUUUCUCCCCCAAGGGAACAAAUGAAUUGGAGGCUAAUUUAGAACUAAAUGAGAUCAGAAGCUUCAGGCACCAAACCUAUAAACAUAAGCUUCAAAUACCUCUUCAGUUUGGAUAAUAAGUACUCUAUAUUCGUUGAAUCUAAAGUCUUAAGGUUUUUGCACUUCCUGAAAGGAGGUAAGAGUUCUUCUAGCCUAUGUUUACCUGUAACUAAAAUUUUAGAUUUAUUGCUAGUCAAUCCCAGAUGCAUGCACAAACACCACUCUGAGACUUCAGUUCUAUUAAGUUCUUAUUUUAUUUAACCAGGUAUUGAGAUCUGAGCUUGCACUUGAACCUUUUCUUUUAUAAUCUCUCUCUUAAUCCGGUGAAUUUCAGUCAGUAAGAGAGUUGUGGGAUACUGCAUAACAAGAGUUGCAUGCCAAAUUGGUGAUUGGGUUAUGUAGGAUUCAUGACAUCUUGAAUAUGCCACAAUAUAAAUUUGAACACCAUCAUACAACUCAAACAUUAAUAAAUCGGAAAUGCAUAUUCAAAUGAUUGGAUUACAAAAUAAAAA